GACGAACGCCGGCGGCGCGCCUAACACAUGCAAGUCGAACGGUGAAGAGGAGCUUGCUCCUCGGAACAGUGGCGGACGGGUGAGUAACACGUGAGCAACCUGGCUCUAAGAGGGGGACAACAGUUGGAAACGACUGCUAAUACCGCAUGACGUAUCGGGAUGGCAUCUUCCUGAUACCAAAGAUUUUAUCGCUUAGAGAUGGGCUCGCGUCUGAUUAGAUAGUUGGCGGGGUAACGGCCCACCAAGUCGACGAUCAGUAGCCGGACUGAGAGGUUGAACGGCCACAUUGGGACUGAGACACGGCCCAGACUCCUACGGGAGGCAGCAGUGGGGGAUAUUGGACAAUGGGGGCAACCCUGAUCCAGCGACGCCGCGUGAGGGAAGAAGGUUUUCGGAUUGUAAACCUCUGUUGACGGAGAAAAAAAUGAUGGUAUCCGUUUAGAAAGCCACGGCUAACUACGUG
This 463-nucleotide ribosomal RNA is filed under the name uncultured bacterium. RNAcentral describes it as "partial 16S ribosomal RNA". It matches the Rfam family "Bacterial small subunit ribosomal RNA", at positions 28 to 507 of the family's 1533-position model. The record is from RNAcentral.